Molecule: small nuclear RNA, 92 nt
Organism: Cricetulus griseus (Chinese hamster)
Lineage: Eukaryota; Metazoa; Chordata; Mammalia; Rodentia; Cricetidae
Source: Ensembl
AUGCUUGUUUUGGCAGUAUAUAUAUACUAAAAUUGGAACGAUGCAGAGAUUAGCAUGGUCCAUGCGCAAGUGUAACAAGAAAACAUAUUUUU